AGUUUGAUUCUGGCUCAGAUUGAACGCUGGCGGCAGGCCUAACACAUGCAAGUCGAACGGUAACAGGAAGAAGCUUGCUUCUUUGCUGACGAGUGGCGGACGGGUGAGUAAUGUCUGGGAAACUGCCUGAUGGAGGGGGAUAACUACUGGAAACGGUAGCUAAUACCGCAUAACGUCGCAAGACCAAAGAGGGGGACCUUCGGGCCUCUUGCCAUCGGAUGUGCCCAGAUGGGAUUAGCUUGUUGGUGGGGUAACGGCUCACCAAGGCGACGAUCCCUAGCUGGUCUGAGAGGAUGACCAGCCACACUGGAACUGAGACACGGUCCAGACUCCUACGGGAGGCAGCAGUGGGGAAUAUUGCACAAUGGGCGCAAGCCUGAUGCAGCCAUGCCCGCGUGUAUGAAGAAGGCCUUCGGGUUGUAAAGUACUUUCAGCGGGGAGGAAGGGAGUAAAGUUAAUACCUUUGCUCAUUGACGUUACCCGCAGAAGAAGCACCGGCUAACUCCGUGCCAGCCGCCGC
RNAcentral lists this ribosomal RNA (520 nucleotides) under uncultured bacterium. Its description in RNAcentral is "bacterial SSU rRNA". It matches the Rfam family "Bacterial small subunit ribosomal RNA", at positions 10 to 518 of the family's 1533-position model. The record is from RNAcentral.